Molecule: ribosomal RNA, 436 nt
Filed under: uncultured bacterium
Lineage: Bacteria
Description: partial 16S ribosomal RNA
Rfam family: Bacterial small subunit ribosomal RNA
Source: RNAcentral
AGCGAACGCUGGCGGCAGGCUUAACACAUGCAAGUCGAGCGGGCAUCCUUGUGGUGUCAGCGGCAGACGGGUGAGUAACGCGUGGGAACGUGCCCUUCGGUUCGGAAUAACUCAGGGAAACUUGAGCUAAUACCGGAUACGUGCGAGAGCAGAAAGGUUUAUCUGCCGAAGGAUCGGCCCGCGUCUGAUUAGCUAGUUGGUGAGGUUAUGGCUCACCAAGGCGACGAUCAGUAGCUGGUCUGAGAGGAUGAUCAGCCACACUGGGACUGAGACACGGCCCAGACUCCUACGGGAGGCAGCAGUGGGGAAUAUUGGACAAUGGGGGCAACCCUGAUCCAGCCAUGCCGCGUGAGUGAUGACGGCCUUAGGGUGGUAAAGCUCUUUUCUCCGGGACGAUAAUGACGGUACCGGAGGAAUAAGCCCCGGCUAACUUCGU